RNAcentral lists this long non-coding RNA (751 nucleotides) under Malus domestica (apple). Its description in RNAcentral is "long non-coding RNA (MDOM_LNC001323)". Lineage: Eukaryota; Viridiplantae; Streptophyta; Magnoliopsida; Rosales; Rosaceae. The record is from RNAcentral.
CCUCGAGCACUCUGGCGCUCGAUGCAUAGUCAUGCCGUGUCACCUGUCUCAUGCGUGGCACGACCAGAUAUCUGAGGACUGUUCUCUGCGCUUCCUUCAUAUCGGUGAGUGUGUUGCCCGGGAGCUCAGGGAAGCAAAGUUGAAGCCACUGGAAAAAGGAAGUAAUGUAAGGAUUGGAGUGCUUGCUGCAGAUGCAACUUUAACGGCUGGUUUUUACCAAGAAAAGCUACAAAGUCAGGUACACAUUCAUCCUAAUUUUGUUUUUCUUGCUAAUUUAUCAAAUUAUGUGAAAACCAUGAAGAUAACAAUUCCGAUUUUCUUCGAAAACAUUACUUGUAUUUUAAGUCACCCGCGAAAAACAUAUUUCGGUGCAAUGGCAAUGGACAGGGGUUUGAUGUUGUGGUACCUGACAAGCAAACCAUGGAGCAUUUGGUGAUUCCCACAAUUGAAGCGAUAAAAAGACGGGACAUGGAGGGGGCACGAAACCUGUUAAGCAUUGCAGUCCAGGUCCUGCUGGUGAGGGCGGUGAACACCGUGAUCAUUGCUUCGGACGAGUUGCAGGGCGUUCUGCCUCCGGACGAUCCUCUUCUUAAGAAAUGUAUCGACCCCAUGGACGCUUUGGCUAGGUCGACAAUAAAAUGGGCAAAGGCUACAGGCAAAAGUGGAUAAGAGGUCGUAGCAACAUGGCUAAAUAAAAUGUACAAAAUCUUCGUGUCAUUGCCAUAUUUCUCUUCAUUUCUGAAGAUAUUUG